GGAAAUGGAACUAUGGAAGUGGAAUAUGCAGACAAAAAACACCAAACCACUUGCAGCGCAUGGACAUAAUCAACAAAGAAAAAGCCGAGCAUAAGCCAUGAAGUUUGGGAAGGAUUUCAAGACCCACCUGGAGGAAACCCUGCCGGAGUGGAGGGACAAGUUUCUCUGCUACAAGCCCCUCAAGAAACUCCUCAAGCAGUUCCCUGCAACUUCUGAUGUCUCUCUCACCCUUCGCCCCACUUUUCUACUCCAACAGUUUUCGCCUCUCCCCGAUGUUGUUGCCUCUUCUGCAUCUCCACCUGUUGAUGCCCCUGCUUCUGUUCAUCAUCAUGAUCCUGAGAGUGCUACAGACAGUUCCUUGGUGCUCCUCCAAGAAUGGUUCAUUAGAAUUUUGAAUGAAGAGCUUGACAAGUUCAAUGAUUUUUUUGUUGAUAAAGAGGAAGAGUUCACUAUCCGUUUUCAGGAACUAAAGGAAAGAAUUGAAUGUCUUAAGGGACAGAGCAGCAAGAAUGGAGUUUUUACAUCAGAGACUGAAUUCAGUGAAGAAAUGAUGGACAUUCGAAAAGAUUUGGUCACUAUUCAUGGGGAGAUGGUGCUUCUAAAAAAUUAUAGCUCCCUAAAUUUUGCAGGGCUAGUUAAGAUUUUGAAGAAGUAUGAUAAACGAACUGGAGGAUUGUUGCGUCUGCCUUUUACCCAACUUGCCCUUCAUCAGCCAUUUUUUACAACAGAAUCUCUAACAAGGCUAGUCCAUGAAUGUGAGGCGAAUCUUGAGCUCCUAUUUCCAUUGCAUGCAGAAGUCAUUGAAUCUACCAACGUUGCAGAAAGACAGCCAAAUCCACCUCUGAAUAACCCAGCAAAUAUCUCAUUUGAGUCAUCACGAACUCUUGGGGAUGACAACAUGGAUAUAUACCGCAGUACCCUUGCUGCAAUGAAAGCCGUAAGAGGCCUUCAAAAAGCAAGCUCCACCUACAAUCCACUGUCUUUUUCAUUUCUCUUCAAGAACCAGGAUGAUGAAAGUAACGGUGCUGUAACAGCUGAUAACUCAGCUUCAAACUCUUCAGCCACACUUACAUAAUGGAGAUGAGUUUGAUCAAGAAGAUGUGCAUUCUG
This 1110-nucleotide unclassified non-coding RNA is filed under the name Hevea brasiliensis (rubber tree). The record is from RNAcentral. Lineage: Eukaryota; Viridiplantae; Streptophyta; Magnoliopsida; Malpighiales; Euphorbiaceae.